RNAcentral lists this unclassified non-coding RNA (337 nucleotides) under soil metagenome. RNAcentral's name for it is "partial contains 5.8S ribosomal RNA, internal transcribed spacer 2, and large subunit ribosomal RNA". The stretch from base 1 to 120 matches the Rfam family "5.8S ribosomal RNA", at positions 35 to 154 of the family's 154-position model. The record is from RNAcentral.
GAUGAAGAACGUAGCGAAAUGCGAUAAGUAAUGUGAAUUGCAGAAUUCAGUGAAUCAUCGAAUCUUUGAACGCACAUUGCGCCCCUUGGUAUUCCGGGGGGCAUGCCUGUUCGAGCGUCAUUUCAACCCUCAAGCUCUGCUUGGUAUUGGGCACCGUCCUUUGCGGGCGCGCCUCAAAGACCUCGGCGGUGGCGUCUUGCCUCAAGCGUAGUAGAAUACACCUCGCUUCGGAGCGUAAGGCGUCGCCCGCCGGACGAACCUUCUGAACUUUUCUCAAGGUUGACCUCGGAUCAGGUAGGGAUACCCGCUGAACUUAAGCUUAUCAAUAAGCGGAGGA